AUUGAACGCUGGCGGCAUGCCUUACACAUGCAAGUCGAACGGCAGCGCGGACUUCGGUCUGGCGGCGAGUGGCGAACGGGUGAGUAAUGUAUCGGAACGUACCAUUGAGUGGGGGAUAACGUAGCGAAAGUUACGCUAAUACCGCAUAUUCUCUCCGGAGGAAAGCAGGGGACCGCAAGGCCUUGCGCUCUUUGAGCGGCCGAUAUCAGGUUACCUAGGUGGUGGGGUAAAAGCUCACCAAGGCGACGAUCUGUAGCGGGUCUGAGAGGAUGAUCCGCCAGACUGGAACUGAGACACGGUCCAGACUCCUACGGGAGGCCGGAGUGGGGAAUUUUGGACAAUGGGGGCAACCCUGAUCCAGCCAUGCCGCGUGAGUGAAGAAGGCCUUCGGGUUGUAAAGCUCUUUCGGCCGGGAAAAAAUCGCAUGGAUUAAUACUCUGUGUGGAUGAUGGUACCGGAAUAAGAAGCACCGGCUAACUACGUGCCAGCAGCCGCGGUAA
Molecule: ribosomal RNA, 500 nt
Filed under: uncultured bacterium
Lineage: Bacteria
Description: partial 16S ribosomal RNA
Rfam family: Bacterial small subunit ribosomal RNA
Source: RNAcentral